RNAcentral lists this ribosomal RNA (319 nucleotides) under uncultured bacterium. Its description in RNAcentral is "bacterial SSU rRNA". It matches the Rfam family "Bacterial small subunit ribosomal RNA", at positions 28 to 334 of the family's 1533-position model. The record is from RNAcentral.
GACGAACGCUGGCGGCAUGCCUAAUACAUGCAAGUCGAGCGGAGUUAUGAUGGAGCUUGCUCCUGAUUAACUUAGCGGCGGACGGGUGAGUAACACGUAGGCAACCUGCCCUCAAGACUGGGAUAACUACCGGAAACGGUAGCUAAUACCGGAUAAUUUCUUUCCUCUCCUGAAGAGAGAAUGAAGGCGGAGCAAUCUGCUGCUUGGGGAUGGGCCUGCGGCGCAUUAGCUAGUUGGUGGGGUAACGGCUCACCAAGGCGACGAUGCGUAGCCGACCUGAGAGGGUGAACGGCCACACUGGGACUGAGACACGGCCCAG